GAAUGCUGACAUAAGUAACGAUAAAGCGGGUGAAAAGCCCGCUCGCCGGAAGACCAAGGGUUCCUGUCCAACGUUAAUCGGGGCAGGGUGAGUCGACCCCUAAGGCGAGGCCGAAAGGCGUAGUCGAUGGGAAACAGGUUAAUAUUCCUGUACUUGGUGUUACUGCGAAGGGGGGACGGAGAAGGCUAUGUUGGCCGGGCGACGGUUGUCCCGGUUUAAGCGUGUAGGCUGGU
Molecule: ribosomal RNA, 233 nt
Filed under: Escherichia coli
Lineage: Bacteria; Pseudomonadati; Pseudomonadota; Gammaproteobacteria; Enterobacterales; Enterobacteriaceae
Description: partial 23S ribosomal RNA
Rfam family: Bacterial large subunit ribosomal RNA
Source: RNAcentral